RNAcentral lists this ribosomal RNA (490 nucleotides) under uncultured bacterium. RNAcentral's name for it is "partial 16S ribosomal RNA". It matches the Rfam family "Bacterial small subunit ribosomal RNA", at positions 28 to 507 of the family's 1533-position model. The record is from RNAcentral.
GAUGAACGCUAGCUACAGGCUUAACACAUGCAAGUCGCGGGGCAGCAUUGGGGUUGCUUGCAAUCCCCGAUGGCGACCGGCGCACGGGUGAGUAACGCGUAUCCAACCUGCCCUUCACCACGGGAUAACCCGGCGAAAGUCGGACUAAUACCGUAUGUUGUCCAUUGACGGCAUCCGAUUUGGACGAAAGGUUUGGCGGUGAAGGAUGGGGAUGCGUCCGAUUAGCUGGACGGCGGGGUGACGGCCCACCGUGGCGACGAUCGGUGGGGGUUCUGAGAGGAAGGUCCCCCACACUGGAACUGAGACACGGUCCAGACUCCUACGGGAGGCAGCAGUGAGGAAUAUUGGUCAAUGGGCGUAAGCCUGAACCAGCCAAGUAGCGUGCAGGAUGACGGCCCUAUGGGUUGUAAACUGCUUUUAUGCGGGGAUAAAGUGGCCCACGUGUGGGUUUUUGCAGGUACCGCAUGAAUAAGGACCGGCUAAUUCCGUG